Molecule: ribosomal RNA, 498 nt
Filed under: uncultured Streptococcus sp.
Lineage: Bacteria; Bacillati; Bacillota; Bacilli; Lactobacillales; Streptococcaceae
Description: bacterial SSU rRNA
Rfam family: Bacterial small subunit ribosomal RNA
Source: RNAcentral
GAUGAGCGCUGGCGGCGUGCCUAAUACAUGCAAGUAGAACGCUGAASCUUGGUGCUUGCACCGAGCGGAUGAGUUGCGAACGGGUGAGUAACGCGUAGGUAACCUGCCUCUUAGCGGGGGAUAACUAUUGGAAACGAUAGCUAAUACCGCAUAAAAGUCGAUAUCGCAUGAUAUUGAUUUGAAAGGUGCAAUCGCAUCACUAAGAGAUGGACCUGCGUUGUAUUAGCUAGUUGGUGAGGUAACGGCUCACCAAGGCGACGAUACAUAGCCGACCUGAGAGGGUGAUCGGCCACACUGGGACUGAGACACGGCCCAGACUCCUACGGGAGGCAGCAGUAGGGAAUCUUCGGCAAUGGGGGCAACCCUGACCGAGCAACGCCGCGUGAGUGAAGAAGGUUUUCGGAUCGUAAAGCUCUGUUGUAAGANAAGAACGAGUGUGAGAGUGGAAAGUUCACACUGUGACGGUAACUUACCAGAAAGGGACGGCUAACUACGUGC